GACAGAGGGUGCGAGCGUUAUCCGGAAUUAUUGGGCGUAAAGCGUGUGUAGGCGGAAUAGUAAGUCGGGGGUUAAAUCUACGAGCUCAACUCGUAGCUUGUUCCCGAAACUACUAAUCUAAGAAGUAUGGAGAGGCAGGUGGAAUUCUGUGUGUAGGGGUAAUAUCCGUAGAUACAUGGAGGAACGCCAAAAGUGAAGACAGCCUGCUGGCCAUAUCUUGACGCUGAGACACGAAAGCGUGGGGAGCAAACAGG
Molecule: unclassified non-coding RNA, 254 nt
Filed under: uncultured Candidatus Altimarinota bacterium
Lineage: Bacteria; Candidatus Altimarinota
Description: uncultured Candidatus Gracilibacteria bacterium contains 16S-23S intergenic spacer region
Rfam family: Bacterial small subunit ribosomal RNA
Source: RNAcentral